RNAcentral lists this ribosomal RNA (227 nucleotides) under uncultured Planctomycetales bacterium. RNAcentral describes it as "partial 16S ribosomal RNA". It matches the Rfam family "Bacterial small subunit ribosomal RNA", at positions 585 to 810 of the family's 1533-position model. Lineage: Bacteria; Pseudomonadati; Planctomycetota; Planctomycetia; Planctomycetales. The record is from RNAcentral.
AAGUCAGACGUGAAAGCCUUCUGUUCAACGGAAGAAUUGCAUCUGAAACUACAAACCUUGAGUGUAGGAGGGGAGAAUGGAACUUCUGGUGGAGCGGUGAAAUGCGUAGAUAUCAGAAGGAACGCCGGCGGCGAAGGCGAUUCUCUGGCCUAUUACUGACACUCAGUGUGCGAAAGCUAGGGGAGCAAACGGGAUUAGAUACCCCGGUGGUCCUAGCCGUAAACGAU